Molecule: ribosomal RNA, 440 nt
Filed under: uncultured bacterium
Lineage: Bacteria
Description: partial 16S ribosomal RNA
Rfam family: Bacterial small subunit ribosomal RNA
Source: RNAcentral
CUACGGGUGGCUGCAGUAGGGAAUAUUGGACAAUGGGCGAAAGCCUGAUCCAGCAACACCGCGUGCACGAUGACGGCCUUCGGGUUGUAAAGUGCUUUUAGAGGAGAUGAGAAAGGACAGUAUCCUCUGAAUAAGCCUCGGCGAACUACGUGCCAGCAGCCGCGGUAAAACGUAGGAGGCAAGCGUUAUCCGGAUUUAUUGGGCGUAAAGCGCGUGCAGGCGGUCUAACAAGUUGGAUGUGAAAGCUCCCGGCUCAACUGGGAGAGGUCGUUCAAUACUGUUAGACUAGAGAAUAGGAGAGGGAGGUGGAAUUCCGGGUGUAGUGGUGAAAUGCGUAGAUAUCCGGAGGAACACCAGUGGCGAAAGCGGCCUCCUGGACUAUUUCUGACGCUAAGACGCGAAAGCUAGGGUAGCAAACGGGAUUAGAUACCCGCGUAGUC